Long non-coding RNA from Hyaena hyaena (striped hyena), 855 nucleotides. RefSeq lists it as uncharacterized. The transcript is spliced from 4 exons. Lineage: Eukaryota; Metazoa; Chordata; Mammalia; Carnivora; Hyaenidae. The record is from RefSeq and is a predicted model, not a curated record.
UAAAGACAAACCCUAUGGCAGUUUUGUUAAGACAAAAGUGAGGCUGCAUUCACAACACGCUAUUUGUCUGGUCUGCUGGCCCAUCAACAUCAAUGUGUUCAUUCAUGCCAAUCCUAUAGAAACAGUGGAGACACUACAGAAGAUACAGGAUGUGCUUCAAGAAGUAAACGGUGAACACCAAAUGACCUGUGCCAAAAGAUAGGAACAGACUGGAAAGAGGAAGAAGCAUACCAUGAACUGGAGUCGGUAGGAAGGAAGUAGGUCCUUCAGCUAGACUUGAAGAAAGAAGAGGUAACAUGCAAGGAGACAUCACAGAGCCCUAAAGUGGCCUCAUCCAAUCAAUUGAAGGACUGAAUAGAAUAAGAAGACCAGAUUCCCAAACAAAGAAGGAAUUAUCUACUAGGUGCCUUCAGAUUUCAUCUGCAGCAGUGGCUCUCCAGACUGCUGGCCCACACUACAGAUUUUGCCCACCUUCAUAAUCAUACCAAGGGAUACUUGAUAUUCCGAUCCAAGUGGACACGAUAUGUACUAUCACUCUGUGAUCCUAGUAUUUCUUAUCCCAUUCAUCCCCUCUCUCAGUGGAAGUUUAUUUGUUGUUGUUGUUUGUUUAUUUGACUAAUGGCAUCCAGUUCCAUUACCACCACAAUAUGCUGGUAUAGGUACUAUAAAAAAAAUAGCUACAUCUGGACCUGAGGGAAGAGAAUGGAUGAAACUUCAGUUUGUCUCCUUUGGACACGGACUCUCUGACAAGUGCAUAGAUAUAUGUUGUGUUCGCUUCAGCAGCACAUCUACUAAAGAGGAAGGAUAUAUGUGAAGCUUUGGUGAUUAAAACAUUUAAUUGUUAAUACUCUUCAA